GACGAACGCUGGCGGCGUGCUUAACACAUGCAAGUCGAACGGAAAGGCCUUGUUUGCCGGGUGCUCGAGUGGUGCACGGGUGGCUAACACGUGGGUGACCCGUCCUGCACCUGGGGCUAAGCUUGGGAAACUGGGGCUAAUACCGGUUAAAUGCCCUCUUUGGCUGGGUGGUUGGGAAGUUUUUUGGGUGUGGGAUGCUCGUGCGGCCGAUUAGCUUGUUGGUGGGACAAUGGCCUACUGAGGUCGUGACGGGCAGCCGGACUGAGAGGGUGCACGGCCACAUUGGCACUGAGUUACGGCCCAGACUGCUACGGGGGGCAGCAGAGGGGAAGAGGGCACAAGGGGCGGAAGCCUGGUGCAGCGACGCCGCGUGGGGGAGGAAGACCUUCGUGUUGUAAGCGCGGUUCGCUAGGGACUGAGCGUUUUGUGACGGUACUUGGAGAAGAAGCACCGGCUAACUACGUG
This 465-nucleotide ribosomal RNA is filed under the name uncultured bacterium. Its description in RNAcentral is "partial 16S ribosomal RNA". It matches the Rfam family "Bacterial small subunit ribosomal RNA", at positions 28 to 507 of the family's 1533-position model. The record is from RNAcentral.